This 253-nucleotide ribosomal RNA is filed under the name uncultured bacterium. Its description in RNAcentral is "partial 16S ribosomal RNA". It matches the Rfam family "Bacterial small subunit ribosomal RNA", at positions 524 to 776 of the family's 1533-position model. The record is from RNAcentral.
UACAGAGGUCCCAAGCGUUGUUCGGAUUCACUGGGCGUAAAGGGUGCGCAGGUGGGUUUGCAAGUUCGAUGUGAAAGCCCCGGGCUUAACCCGGGAAUGGCAUUGGAUACUGCAGAUCUGGAGGAUUGGAGGGGGGACUGGAAUUCUUGGUGUAGCAGUGAAAUGCGUAGAUAUCAAGAGGAACACCAGUGGCGAAGGCGAGUCCCUGGACAAUACCUGACACUGAGGCACGAAAGCCGGGGGAGCAAACAGG